AAAUCAAGGCUGAGGCGUGAUGACGAGGCACUGCGGUGCUGAAGCAACAAAUGCCCUGCUUCCAGGAAAAGCCUCUAAGCAUCAGGUAACAUCAAAUCGUACCCCAAACCGACACAGGUGGUCAGGUAGAGAAUACCAAGGCGCUUGAGAGAACUCGGGUGAAGGAACUAGGCAAAAUGGUGCCGUAACUUCGGGAGAAGGCACGCUGAUAUGUAGGUGAAGUCCCUCGCGGAUGGAGCUGAAAUCAGUCGAAGAUACCAGCUGGCUGCAACUGUUUAUUAAAAACACAGCACUGUGCAAACACGAAAGUGGACGUAUACGGUGUGACGCCUGCCCGGUGCCGGAAGGUUAAUUGAUGGGGUUAGCGCAAGCGAAGCUCUUGAUCGAAGCCCCGGUAAACGGCGGCCGUAACUAUAACGGUCCUAAGGUAGCGAAAUUCCUUGUCGGGUAAGUUCCGACCUGCACGAAUGGCGUAAUGAUGGCCAGGCUGUCUCCACCCGAGACUCAGUGAAAUUGAACUCGCUGUGAAGAUGCAGUGUACCCGCGGCAAGACGGAAAGACCCCGUGAACCUUUACUAUAGCUUGACACUGAACAUUGAGCCUUGAUGUGUAGGAUAGGUGGGAGGCUUUGAAGUGUGGACGCCAGUCUGCAUGGAGCCGACCUUGAAAUACCACCCUUUAAUGUUUGAUGUUCUAACGUUGACCCGUAAUCCGGGUUGCGGACAGUGUCUGGUGGGUAGUUUGACUGGGGCGGUCUCCUCCUAAAGAGUAACGGAGGAGCACGAAGGUUGGCUAAUCCUGGUCGGACAUCAGGAGGUUAGUGCAAUGGCAUAAGCCAGCUUGACUGCGAGCGUGACGGCGCGAGCAGGUGCGAAAGCAGGUCAUAGUGAUCCGGUGGUUCUGAAUGGAAGGGCCAUCGCUCAACGGAUAAAAGGUACUCCGGGGAUAACAGGCUGAUACCGCCCAAGAGUUCAUAUCGACGGCGGUGUUUGGCACCUCGAUGUCGGCUCAUCACAUCCUGGGGCUGAAGUAGGUCCCAAGGGUAUGGCUGUUCGCCAUUUAAAGUGGUACGCGAGCUGGGUUUAGAACGUCGUGAGACAGUUCGGUCCCUAUCUGCCGUGGGCGCUGGAGAACUGAGGGGGGCUGCUCCUAGUACGAGAGGACCGGAGUGGACGCAUCACUGGUGUUCGGGUUGUCAUGCCAAUGGCACUGCCCGGUAGCUAAAUGCGGAAGAGAUAAGUGCUGAAAGCAUCUAAGCACGAAACUUGCC
RNAcentral lists this ribosomal RNA (1270 nucleotides) under Escherichia coli. Its description in RNAcentral is "partial 23S ribosomal RNA". It matches the Rfam family "Bacterial large subunit ribosomal RNA", at positions 1547 to 2798 of the family's 2925-position model. Lineage: Bacteria; Pseudomonadati; Pseudomonadota; Gammaproteobacteria; Enterobacterales; Enterobacteriaceae. The record is from RNAcentral.